CGCGGCCUAUCAGCUUGUUGGUGGGGUAAUGGCCUACCAAGGCGUCGACGGGUAGCUGGUCUGAGAGGAUGAUCAGCCACACUGGGACUGAGACACGGCCCAGACUCCUACGGGAGGCAGCAGUGGGGAAUCUUGCGCAAUGGGCGAAAGCCUGACGCGGCAACGCCGCGCGCGGGAAGAAGGCCUUCGGGUUGUAAACCGCUUUCAGCAGGAACGAAAAUGACGGUACCUGCAGAAGAAGGUGCGGCCAACUACGUGCCAGCAGCCGCGGUGACACGUAGGCACCAAGCGUUGUCCGGAUUUAUUGGGCGUAAAGAGCUCGUAGGCGGUUCAGUAAGUCGGGUGUGAAAACUCUGGGCUUAACCCAGAGCCGCCACCCGAUACUGCUGUGACUAGAGUCCGGUAGGGGAGUGGGGAAUUCCUAGUGUAGCGGUGAAAUGCGCAGAUAUUAGGAGGAACACCGGUGGCGAAGGCGCCACUCUGGGCCGGAACUGACGCUGAGGAGCGAAAGCGUGGGUAGCAAACAGAAUUAGAUACCCUGGUAGUCCACGCCGUAAACGUUGGGCACUAGGUGUGGGCCUCAACCAACGAGGUCCGUGCCGUCGCUAACGCAUUAAGUGCCCCGCCUGGGGA
This 633-nucleotide ribosomal RNA is filed under the name uncultured Actinomycetes bacterium. RNAcentral's name for it is "bacterial SSU rRNA". It matches the Rfam family "Bacterial small subunit ribosomal RNA", at positions 232 to 879 of the family's 1533-position model. The record is from RNAcentral. Lineage: Bacteria; Bacillati; Actinomycetota; Actinomycetes.